This 484-nucleotide ribosomal RNA is filed under the name uncultured bacterium. Its description in RNAcentral is "partial 16S ribosomal RNA". It matches the Rfam family "Bacterial small subunit ribosomal RNA", at positions 28 to 523 of the family's 1533-position model. The record is from RNAcentral.
GACGAACGCUGGCGGCGUGCUUAACACAUGCAAGUCGAACGAUGAAGCCGGAGCUUGCUCUGGUGAAUUAGUGGCGAACGGGUGAGUAACACGUGAGUAACCUGCCCCUUUCUCUGGGAUAACGCUCCGAAAGGAGUGCUAAUACCGGAUACUCCCACCGAGGCACAUGCCUUGGUGUGGAAAGUUUUUCGGAAAGGGAUGGAGUCGCGGCCUAUCAGCUUGUUGGUGAGGUAACGGCUCACCAAGGCGACGACGGGUAGCCGGCCUGAGAGGGCGACCGGCCACACUGGGACUGAGACACGGCCCAGACUCCUACGGGAGGCAGCAGUGGGGAAUAUUGCACAAUGGGCGCAAGCCUGAUGCAGCGACGCCGCGUGAGGGAUGAAGGUCUUCGGAUUGUAAACCUCUUUCAGUAGGGACGAAGCGAAAGUGACGGUACCUAAAGAAGAAGCACCGGCUAACUACGUGCCAGCAGCCGCCGUAA